This 1181-nucleotide long non-coding RNA is filed under the name Piliocolobus tephrosceles (Ugandan red Colobus). RNAcentral's name for it is "lncRNA (ENSPTEG00000000404.1)". The record is from RNAcentral. Lineage: Eukaryota; Metazoa; Chordata; Mammalia; Primates; Cercopithecidae.
GAAAAUCAUGAUAGACAAGUAUUUUUAGAAGAAAAAAUAAAAAAAAAAGAAAAAAAAAUAGAGCAAUAUGAUUUACAAAUCAAAGAAUUUAAACUCACCAUUGAGGAUAUGCAUAAACGUAUAACAAAGGCGAAUAGUGACGUAAUAGAAAAGGAAAAAUGCCUUAACUUUUUAAACAAAUUCCAAAAAAAUACGACUGGAUUUGUUCAGCUAGAUAUUUUUGACAGAAUGGAAACAAUAUUUAAUUCAAGAGAAUUUAUAAAAAAAAAAAAGAUAAAUUGAAAGAAAAAAUAAAUACUAUAAAAACAAAAAUUAAAGAUACUGAAAAAAAAAACAAUUUAACCUUAAAAAAUAAAGAAACAGAGUGUAAAGACCUAAAACGUACUGCAGAACAGAUUGCAGUGAGAGAAAAUGAAAUAAAAACGAAAUUAAAGGAAAACAUAAACGAACAUAAUAAAAAAGCUUUGUUAUUAUAUAAAAUAUAUUCUUGUGUAGAUAAUUUUUUAAAUCGUUUUGUUUCAUUUCUGCCUGAAUUACGUCAUUAUAACCUAAUGAAAGAGGAAGAAAAAUUAAACCUGGAAAAAAAAGCAAAAAUUGCGGAUUUAAAAGAAGGGGCAUAUGAAAUAGAAUUAGAAGACUUUUAUCAUAUAGAGGAAGAUAUUAUUAAAAAGUUUGAUGUAAUCUACAAAUAUAUAAGAGACACAAUACAUAUAAUUAAUAAAGUUAAAAAAGAAAUAACGUUAAAAGAAGAAAGCCAAGUGGAACUGGUUAAAAACGACAUAGAUGAAGAGGUUGAAUUUUGUACAUACAACAAUAUUAAAGGCAAAAAUAAUUAAUAUAAAAAUGUAAGCAUUUGUGAAAGAAAUGAACAAAUAGACAAAUGAAAGAUAAAACUGAAAGGAAUAGAUAAUGUAUAAACUACUUAAGUCGUUUAUUUUAUUCUUUUUUUUUCUGUUAUUGUCUUUUUUCGAUUGCAUAAAAAACUGCAGCACUCAGGUGUAAUUCCGUUAACGUAAGAUACUUGUUCUAAAAAUUUAAAAUAGUCCACUUUUUUUUUUCUGAUUUGAUAAAAAAUAAGGCAAAAUAUUAUUUUUAAUAUUAACAAACUUUGAAAUAGAUUUUAAAGAAUGUAGACCUAUAUUUCCUGAAUACAAUAAAUCAAAAUUAAUGUUUUGAUACCA